CUAAAAAUCUAGCCUCCUUUCCUCCCCUCUUUCUCAAAUCUAGCUAAAAUAUUUUUAAAGAUUAGUAAAGAAGAUUAAAAAACUUCUAAGCGCUAUAAAUCUGUACCGGCAAGGGAUAGAUGAAAUAAAAUGAAAAAUCUUCAGCACAAAAAAGUAAAGAUUCACUCUUGUACCUUUUGCAUCAUGGUUUAGCUAGCCUAAUUAGGCAAAAAGAUCUUAAGUCUAACUCCCCGAAACUAAGUGAGCUAUUUUAGGGCCGCUUACUGAGCCAACCCGUCUAUGUUGCAAAAUAGUGGGAAGACCCUAAAAUAGGGGUGAUAAAUCUAACGAACUUAGUUAUAGCUGGUUUCUCAAGAAAAGAAUUUUAGUCCAACCUAAAGUAACCCUAGAACCCCUAAUUAACCCUAUAACUUUAGAGCAACUCAAAUGAGGUACAGCCCAUUUGAUACAGGAUACAACCUUCACUAAUGGCUAACAUUCAACUUUAUACCCCAAAGUUGGCCUAAAAGCAGCCAUCUUUAAAAAAGCGUCAAAGCUUAGCCGUACUGUAUAAAUUUAAAAAUACAUAUUGACCCCUUUAACCAUAUUGAGAAUUUCUAUAAACCUAUAGAACCUUUUAUGCUAAAACUAAUAACAAGAGGAAACUCCUCUCUCAAAUGCUAACCUAAGCCGGCAAGAACCCCCCACCGGCAAUCAACAGACAUAAAGUAGUAACUUCCCCAGAAAACCCUACUUUCCACUAACUGUUAACCUAACACUAGAGCAUUACAAGAAAGAUUAAAAGAAAAAGAAGGAACUCGGCAAACACUAGCCCCGCCUGUUUACCAAAAACAUCGCCUCUUGUUCUCAUAAGAGGUCCAGCCUGCCCAGUGAUUUAUUCAACGGCCGCGGUAUCCUAACCGUGCGAAGGUAGCGUAAUCACUUGUCUUCUAAAUAAAGACCAGUAUGAAAGGCAUCACGAAGACUAAGCUGUCUCCUCUCUCCAAUCAGUGAACCUAAUCUCCCCGUGAAGAAGCCGGGAUCCAACUAUAAGACGAGAAGACCCUAUGGAGCUUUAAACACCGUAACACUGCCACCACCCCCACUCACUCCGGUGCAUCAGCUAAACGGCACUCUGAUUACAUGUUUUUGAUUGGGGUGAUCGCGGAGAAAAACUUAUCCUCCGCAAUGAAAGGGACCUCCCCCCUAAACAACAAGUUACAACUUUAUGCAUCAAAAAAUUGACAUUUAUUGACCCAAUAAUUGAUUAACGAACCAAGUUACCCUAGGGAUAACAGCACAAUCCACUUUGAGAGCCCGUAUCGACAAGUGGGCUUAUGACCUCGAUGUUGGAUCGGGAUAUCCUAGUGGUGCAACCGCUACUAAAGGU
Molecule: ribosomal RNA, 1369 nt
Filed under: Pristimantis altamazonicus (Amazon robber frog)
Lineage: Eukaryota; Metazoa; Chordata; Amphibia; Anura; Strabomantidae
Description: partial 16S ribosomal RNA
Rfam family: Bacterial large subunit ribosomal RNA
Source: RNAcentral